This is a long non-coding RNA of Chinchilla lanigera (long-tailed chinchilla), 1680 nucleotides long. The record is from Ensembl. NCBI's taxonomy places the organism in Eukaryota, Metazoa, Chordata, Mammalia, Rodentia, Chinchillidae.
AGGGUCUUUACAUGGUUUCUUUUCUUCUUCUUCUUCUUUUUUUUUUUCCUGUCUGUUCAUGUGUUUCUCAAAGGUUAGGGCUAGAAUUUACUCAGUUAUUUCCUCCCCAUUUGGUCAAAUCAAGUGUCAAUGUCAGCUUAGAUUUAGUGGGUGGGGAAAUUGAUUUUUCCUCUUAGUGGAAGAUAUGCAGAGAAUUUUUGUACAUGGCCAUUUUGAUUUUAUUUUAUAAUUUAGGCUCAAUUACAAAAUAAACAACAGACAUGAAAGAAUAUAAUUUAAAUAAAAACUGCUAAAUUUUCUGCAAAGUAUUAUUAUUUGUGUAGCCAAACAAUUGUUCUUUUCCUCCUUUUCCAGUGUGGUCUUGGCGUAUGUCCUCAUGAGGAAAUUCGGGAUGAUUCUAGCAUCCUGGGUCCAUUGGCAGGGUGUUUGAGAUGCUGGCUAUGCUACUUCCUUUUAGCUCUUUGAAUUCAAUAUCUCAGUGGCAGCGAAUGAAGAAUUUCUGCACAGAGACUGAAGACCAGCUGUUCUCAAUAUUGACUCGGCUCUGCAGAGUGGAAACUGAUUUGAAUAGCAUCAUGAGAGACUUAGAUUACAGAUGAGAGAAUUUUCUGACAGUGAGUGUUGCUAAUGUUGGGAGGUUGUAGAAUCUUUUCCUCUGGACAUUUUAAAUUUUCAUUUUUUAUUUUAAAGAAUAAAAGAAGGAUAACAUAAUAAUAGGGGGGACUUAGCAAAUUACAGACAAAAUGGUAGGAAAUUAUCAAUGGUUAUCGUUUUACAUAUUAUUAUCUACAAAAUAGUUUCUCAGGAAAACAAAUAGACAAAUAAUAGUGAGUUAGAGACAAAAGAGGUAAGAGAUUAUCAAGAGUUGUUGUGCUAUACUUUGGUAUCUUCAAAGUGGCUUCUAAAGAAAAUAAAUAGAGCUAUACAUGAGUGACCUACUGAAAAAUCAUUAACUAUUCUCAAUGGUUGUUGUAGGAAACACAUAAUAAUAAACAUACAUUAUGAAAUAGGAUAGGAACAAUACAAACAACACAGUUAUGGAUAGAUUAGUAGGAAAAUAUCAAUGGCUGCUGUAAUACGUGGUGGUAUCUUCAAAGUGGUUUCUCAGGAAGACAGAGAUAUGCAAGAAGGAUCUAAUAAGUAGUUACAGCCUAAGGGUUGUCAAAAAUAGCAUAUUACCUCCUCACCAGUGACUCCUUUCACUGAGGUAUGAUGGCUGGAAGGAAGGCCAGGAUUGAAAAGAAGGACCGAGAGACUUGCACCUGUGACUAGCAACAGGCUGUUUUCUUGUUCCUCCAUAGUCAUGAUUACCCAGGACUCCUUGAUGGAGAUGACGGUCUGGCCAGAGGGAGAAGGCAGACCAUGCCCCAAGCCCUCUCAUUCCUGUUGGACUAACUGGUAGCAUGGGUCUGAGCUCUGGGGCCUCCACCUCAGAGGGCAGACUGAUCUCCAGUGGUCUCCUUUGCAUCCAGGGCAUGGCCCAUGGGGCCUCUUAGGGCAGUUCCUCUUGAGGUAGCCUGGCUUUUAACAGUGGUAGCAGAUGAAUGCAGUUGUCGAGUUCUUCUUGGAGCCCCGGGAAUCAGACCUGGGAUCUGUUUCUCUUAGUGGUGCAGCAAAAGCAGCUUCUUUUUCUCAGUCUCUUUGUUUUCUUUCCUUGGCCUCCUCCUCAUUAUGGCUAUA